UUUCUCCUUUGUUAGCAAAGCAAUAAACCUCCCUUUUUCUUUUUCUCAAAACCCUGUCCUCAUUAUUAAAUUGGCAUUAAUUGGCUUCAAGGUCAGGAACUAAACUUUCAGUUACAAAUUUUGAUACCACCACCACCACCACCACCCCCUCGAACUUUUUAGUGCUGAUUACUGAAAUGUUAGGAGAUGGAGCGUGCCUGUGGUGGAACCGAACCAGAGGAGCUAAUCCUGUAAGUAAAAGGAGGGACUGAGGGACUCCCAGCAGCUGCUGAAGCCCUGUUGCUUUGGGGAAUUCCCGCAUUCCUUCCUUGCACUGUAAGGAUUAUGCCACCUCUGUCUUCUUAGAAAAGAGAAAAAGAAAAAGGGGACACUUAAUGCAGCAAAGUCACCAUGGAGACCCUUGAUUUUACAUUUCAGGUUGCCCCUCUAUGAAAACAUCUGGUCCCCUUGUGGGGACAUCUAUGGUGCCACUGGUGUAGGAGAUUUUUCUCUUAUCUGCUCUGUUUUAAAGGUUUCUGUCUGUCAGCCAAAGUCUGGACCUCCUUUCUGUCUGUCCUGUGUCUUUGUUUCUGGCCCUUUAAGACAUGUGCAAUAGUGUGUUGAUAUUAUAAAUUGUUUCUUGGGAAUGAUCUUGGCUGAAUGUGUGUCUAAAAAAUGAUGUUUUAUUGUAACAAUCUGGUAUUUG
RNAcentral lists this long non-coding RNA (685 nucleotides) under Marmota monax (woodchuck). The record is from RNAcentral. Lineage: Eukaryota; Metazoa; Chordata; Mammalia; Rodentia; Sciuridae.